UUUCAGGGAAGGGAUCACAUCCUCCUCCAUCAUCUGAGGUAGAGGCUUAACAGGUGCUUUAGCUGGAGGUUUUUUUGCCGGUGCAGCUUUUGGAGCUUCCUUUACCUCCUCUUUUGUUUCAGCAGUAGCUAAGACCAGAAAUUUCAGUAACAGUUUCAAUUAGACUAAUCACAGUCACCCCAAUGAAAAAUUUUAGCAAAUAAAAGAAUCAAACCAAAGAGUUUUAAAACUUUUCAUCAUGUUAAUGCAGAAAUUCACCUGCUGUUGUGCUAGGAGACGACUCUUGAACAGCAGAGCAGGUGAUUCUGUUUCUGCUUGAUGUUUUAUAUUUACUUGCAAUCUGCAACGCAGGAAGAACAAAUAUUGAAAAAAAUCUUCACAGCACUUUAUAUUUCAGUUGUGUUAGUUCAUUACAGUAUUAUCUCAUCCAAUACUUAAAAGUGAAAGCUGUAACUAAAAAUUAGUCCUUGGAUAAUAUUACAAGUGAAAAUUUUCUUAAUAGAUUAAAUUUGAGGUUAAGUUGAAUAAUCAGAGAGACAUACCAAAGGAGAUGAUGAUGAUGAUGAGGUGGGUAUGGCAACAUUCUGAGAGACAUGCAAAGAAGAAGUUGAUGGUAAUGAACACAAACGAAAGCUAGAAUCACCAAGUGCUCCACCUCUUAACAAAGUUGCCAUUUGCAUUCUUUCUCUCUUGAUGCUUUGAUUAUGUUCUUUUACUUUUCUUUUCUUCUUUUUUUCUGGUUAGUCACCAACCAUUUUUUUUUUCUUUCAGUG
Molecule: long non-coding RNA, 773 nt
Filed under: Vigna radiata
Lineage: Eukaryota; Viridiplantae; Streptophyta; Magnoliopsida; Fabales; Fabaceae
Description: long non-coding RNA (VRAD_LNC009513)
Source: RNAcentral